RNAcentral lists this ribosomal RNA (453 nucleotides) under uncultured bacterium. Its description in RNAcentral is "partial 16S ribosomal RNA". It matches the Rfam family "Bacterial small subunit ribosomal RNA", at positions 28 to 523 of the family's 1533-position model. The record is from RNAcentral.
GAUGAACGCUGGCGGUAUGCUUAACACAUGCAAGUCGUACGAGAGUUUUUAACUCUAGUAGCGGACGGGUGAGUAACACGUGAGAAUCUACACUAAGGAGGGGAAUAACAGCUGGAAACGGUUGCUAAUACCCCAUACGCCGAAAGGUGAAAGGAUAUAUCCACAUUAGGAAGAGCUCGCGCCUGAUUAGCUAGUUGGUGAGGUAACGGCUCACCAAGGCAAUGAUCAGUAGCUGGUUUGAGAGGACGAUCAGCCACACUGUGACUGAGACACGGCCCAGACUCCUACGGGAGGAAGCAGUGGGUAAUUUUCCGCAAUGGGCGAAAGCCUGACGGAGCAAUACCGCGUGAGGGAUGAAAGCCUCUGGGUUGUAAACCUCUUUUCUCAAGGAAGAAGUUCUGACGGUACUUGAGGAAUAAGCAUCGGCUAACUCUGUGCCAGCAGCCGCAGUAA